AUUUAGUACACUUCUCAUGAAAUUCUUGUGUUUGCUAUUCUAAAUUGAACUUUUGAACUUUCAAAUGAAUAUGUUAAUUUCAAACGAGGGAGAAACAGAGAAUGUGCCAAACAAUGAGCUUAUUUAACUGGUACGAGAUUCAUCAUUCAUGUCCAUAAAGGCAAUAGCUGGUUAACUAUUUGCAAUAUUAUUGGCCCAUUUCCUAUUUAAAUAACAUUAUUUUAUGCAUCUCUG
RNAcentral lists this unclassified non-coding RNA (234 nucleotides) under Hevea brasiliensis (rubber tree). The record is from RNAcentral. Lineage: Eukaryota; Viridiplantae; Streptophyta; Magnoliopsida; Malpighiales; Euphorbiaceae.